ACAGUGGUGGUUCAGUGGUAGAGUUCUCAUCUUCCAUGUGGGACACCUGGGUUCAAUUUCCAGCCAACGCA
Molecule: transfer RNA, 71 nt
Filed under: Loxodonta africana (African savanna elephant)
Lineage: Eukaryota; Metazoa; Chordata; Mammalia; Proboscidea; Elephantidae
Rfam family: tRNA
About the family: Transfer RNA (tRNA) molecules are approximately 80 nucleotides in length.
Source: Rfam by way of RNAcentral